UACGAAGGGGGCUAGCGUUGUUCGGAAUUACUGGGCGUAAAGAGCUCGUAGGUGGUUUGUCGCGUUGUUCGUGAAAACUCACAGCUCAACUGUGGGCGUGCGGGCGAUACGGGCAGACUGGAGUACUGACAGGGGAGACUGGAAUUCCUGGUGUAGCGGUGGAAUGCGCAGAUAUCAGGAGGAACACCCGUGGCGAAGGCGGCUCUCUGGGACGGUACUGACGCUGAGACGCGAAAGCGUGGGGAGCAAACAGG
RNAcentral lists this ribosomal RNA (254 nucleotides) under uncultured bacterium. RNAcentral's name for it is "partial 16S ribosomal RNA". It matches the Rfam family "Bacterial small subunit ribosomal RNA", at positions 524 to 776 of the family's 1533-position model. The record is from RNAcentral.